Olea europaea var. sylvestris is the source of this 4596-nucleotide RNA transcript. It is a transcript of the gene named putative late blight resistance protein homolog R1A-3, with no coding region annotated. The transcript has 10 exons. Lineage: Eukaryota; Viridiplantae; Streptophyta; Magnoliopsida; Lamiales; Oleaceae. The record is from RefSeq and is a predicted model, not a curated record.
UAAACAAAUUCACUCUCAAUAUUCUCUCUUUGCCCAGCGUUUUGCACAAACCAAAAAUAUGGAGGACCUCUCUUUGUUCAGCCUUUUGCCCAAACCAAAUAUGGAGGCUCUCUCUUUGCUCGACCUUUUUCCAAAACCAAAAAUGGAGGAUCUCUCUUUGUUUGCGUCCGAAUCAAAUAUGGAGGAUCUCUCUUUGUUCGGAUCUUUUUUGGAACCAAAAAUAAAGCGUCUCUCUUUGUUUCCAUCCGAAUCAAAUAUGAAGGAUCCCUCUUACGAAAAUCUGUCUCGUCUAGUCAAAAGCCCAGAUCUCCUUUCUCGUUUGCUAGCUUUAAGGCUUGAUGGAGGAGAAAAAAAUGUUAGCUUUCAAUGGCUCGGCCCACACUUUUUAACUUUUCUCAAAUAUGUAAAAGAAGUAUUGCAAUGGUUCUAUCCAGACCGCUGCGGACCACUUACUAUGUACAAUCCGUAUUGUCUGUUGAAGCGUCUUGAUGAUUCAGCCUCCGAUUGCAUCUUAUACGAAGAGAUCGUUUCUCAUCACGAUAAUGAACAUUACAAAAACUUUUUAGAAACCAUUCUCGCUUCCAUGCCAAAGCUUAACAAGUUUUUCACAAUUCAAACAUCCAUCGCGUAUAACUCCAUUAAACGUUGGAAAAUCUUCAUCGACUUUCUUUUUGAAACUAUUCGAGAAUUGCUUAAAUGCCAAAAGGAUUCCAUCGUUCUUGUGAGUAAUCAAGUCAAAUUUCUUCAGAAGGGGUUGAAUUUUCUGUUCGCCUUUCUUGUUUAUCCAAGUCCAAGCUAUGAACGGAAGACGAGUAUAUUCACAGAAAUUGAAGCUGUAUUUAAUGAAGCAGGACUGUUCUUGCAUUCAUUCUUUUUCACCACAGAUCUUGUUACCACCCCCAAAAUGGAUCUUGCAAUUUUUGGUCUGUUAGAAAGGAUUGAGAAUGUGCUAGUGAAGAUUAAAUAUUACAGUAUUGCAGUGUCAAGUGAAGUUGGAAUUGGAAGCCCACAAGUUGCAGAAAGUCCAAGUGAAGUAUCAUCAUACCAAGGUAACAGCACUCCCAUGGUAGAAGAGAUCGUUGUGGGCUUAGAGGACACGACAACACAAAUUGUGAGCAAGCUUGUUGGAGGACGAAACUACCGCCAGAUUAUUUCCAUCGUUGGAAUGGGUGGACUUGGCAAGACAACCUCAGCAAAGAAAAUAUACAAUGAUCCCAGUGUUCGGUACUAUUUUGAUAAGCUUUCUUGGUGUGCCGUUUCUCAAACUUAUAAUAAGAGAAAGCUGUUGAUUGACAUUUUGAGCUCCUCACGAGACCUUGACAAAGAAACUAUGUUAAAAAAGGAAGAUGAAGAGUUGGCCGAACAUCUUUACAAAAAUUUAAAGGGUAGAAGAUACCUCAUUAUUAUGGACGAUCUAUGGGAUAAAGAAGUAUGGGAUGAUUUGAAAGUGUUAUUCCCAGACGACACAAAUGGAAGUAGAGUAUUGUUUACCAGUCGGCUGAAAAAUGUGGCAUCGGAAAUUUCUCAUGUUAUCAUUGAACCUCCUCCCCUGUCACCAGACGAAAGUUGGAAAUUAUUAGAGCAGAAGGUGUUCAAAAAAGAAUGUUGUCCUCAACAGCUGCAAGAUAUUGGAAAGCAAAUUGCAGCAAAUUGUAAGGGAUUACCACUUUCAGUAGUUUUGAUAGCUGGAAUUCUUUCAAAUAUGGAGAAAAAAGAAAGCUUAUGGCAACAAGUUGCUAAAAGUUUAAGUUAUUACAUUUCCCAAAAAGCCGACUACUACAUACCCACAUUGAAACUUAGCUACAUCCAUUUACCAGAUCACUUGAAGCCAUGUUUCCUCUAUCUUAGUGCAUUUCAGGAAGACGAGGAAAUUCCAGUUCGGAAGCUAUUAUUACUAUGGAUAGUCGAAGGAUUCAUAGAGAAAAGGGAGCAAAAGACCUUAGAAGAUGUAGCAGAGGAGUAUUUAAUGGAACUUGUUAACAGGAGCCUACUUCAAGUGUCCAAAAGAAGAUCUGACAAUGGAGUACAAGAAUGUACUCUUCACGAUCUUGUUCUCGAUAUGUGCAGCAAAAUGGUUGUAGAAGAUGAAAAUUUUCUAUUUCAACAUCAAUUCUUGGUAUCUAAGCAUCGCCGUCUCCAUCACUUGUAUAUGGGUCAGUUUCAUCGCGUCUUGACAUCUGAGAAUAUUUUUGAGGCCUUCCCCAUUGCUUAUAAUUUGGAAAAAAUUAGGAUUGUUGAUUCAAGCAAUGUUGAAAAUGUUCUACUGGGAAUCAAAUUUAUGCCUGACAUGAGGUACUUGAAUAUUUCAAAUUUAGAGCCAUCAAUAGGCAAACUCCAUAACCUUGAAUAUCUUUGUUUGCCGAUCAUAAAGGAAGUACCGACAUACCUUCUCAAUAUGCCUAAGUUGAGACAUUUAAGGGUCCGUGUCUACUAUGAUGGUGCAAGAUUCACUAAGAACAGUGAUAGCUUCCGAAUAAAUUGCCUACAAACCCUUGGUUUCGUUGAGAUUGUCGAUUUGGAAGACGAAGAAAUCCUGAGAUGUUCACCUAAUCUUCGUAUGCUUAAAUGCAGGCCAAUCGACAAUUACUUUCCUGAUCUUAACUUUUUUUCUCAGCUUCAAACACUCACAAUUGCAGGAGGACUGUUAGGACGUGAUUACUCGAUGGUUAAAUUUCCUGUGAAUAUCAAAAAGCUUACUCUUAUUAACUUUAGUUUGCCUUGGGAAGAGAUGUCAUUAAUUGGGACAUUGCCCAACCUCGAGAUUUUGAAAUUAGAAACGAACACCUUUUCAGGAAAAACUUGGGAUACGAAGGAUGAUGAGUUCCAGAAACUCAAAUUCCUUAAAUUAGAUUCGCUAGACCUUGAACAGUGGAAUUCUUCACACGAUCAUUUUCCUGUACUUGAACGAUUGGUGUUGGUAGAAUGCUUAUUUUUGGAGAAUAUUCCUUCUGAAUUUAGUAGCAUUUCAACACUACGGAGGAUUAAGUUACUUUAUUGUGGUGAAGAUGUUGAAACUUCAGCUUUGGAAAUUCGUCAAGAACAACUGGAUUAUGGUAAUACAGAGUUUGAUGUGACCAUCGAAAGCGAUUGGUCGUGAAGACAACUUCAUUCUACUGGAGUACACCGUGAGCACGCGUUUCCUCUCUUCACUUCGACGAAGAACCAUGGAGAUUCGGCUGUAAAGUUGUCCUCCUUGAAGCAAGUGACGAGCAUACUACUAUCUUUACAGCCUUCUCACGACGCAGAGCUCUUUCUGUACUCGAUUGAGCUUCAGACUUCCCUAGACAUGCUCGUGCGUAAAUACCUCCUCGAUUUUGAGAACAAGUGAGGUGGAUUCAAUUGCAAGUGUGAAUGAGAUAAACUAUACAUAAUGGAGCAGGACAUGUGUAUUUGUAAGACAAAUUAUCCUAUUGGUUAAGCUACGAAUAAACAAAUAUUUCCAAUUUCAAUUUUGAAGAGGUUAUAAAUAUUUGUUUAUGGAUUGUACAUAUGUAAUGUUGUUACAAGGCUAAGAAAAGGGACGAGGCAGUGGCAUUACUAGCACAGGUAAAAGGACAGAUACCCAUGUCAGUAGCAGCACCAAAUGCAGUUAAUAAUGCUGUCUUAAGCAAUGGGAAAAGAGAUGGGGAAAAGGUCCGUCCUGGAAUAUCAAAUAAUAUCAUUUCCAAGCUUUCAGACUUUAAUGCUGCUCUUUCACAUCUAAGGAAAAAGCGAAAGAUACCCUCAACAUUGGCAUCUGUUGAUGCUGUGGAGAAAUACACUCAACUUAAUGGUUGUCCUCUUCAUCGGACAAAGCAAGCCUGCCGUGUCAUCUUUUGACAUCCAGUAUUUCAAGGUACAAUAUUUGUGAUCCUAUAUUUGGAGAUGAUCAACCAUACAUAGUGAAUACGGUGUUUACAUACCAUCUUGAUAAAGCUACAAAGAUAGAAGUUGGAUUAGGGCGAGGAAUUCAAAAAUUCCUUUUGAGGUGUAAGGCCACACCAAAAGCUUCAGUUAGAAAGAAGGUAGGAGAGGAAAGUUGUUUUGAUGCUGGGGCACCUUGUGCUAUGUGAUCGCCAAUAAGUUCUAAAAAAUGUGUUCAACCUUCAGAAUUCUAAGUUGAAAAAGGGUUGCCCCAAAGCGUAUCAUCUGUCUUGUGUAAAUCAAGAAGAGGUCUUCUUCAUCACGAAGGGUUGUUGGAACUGUGAUAGCUGUAUUCAAUCUCUGCUAGGUGAUCAGUUAGCAAUAGGAAAAGAAACGUGACGUUGUCUGGGGAUGGAAACCAACAUGUAUCCAUCAUCGGCAUUAUUAGGGCAUGAGAAAGAUGAGACUUUUGUUGCUUUGCCUAUUGAUGAGCUAAUAGAAAAGGCUGAUGGUUUUGCUUGUGUUUUUCCUGGUAGCAAAUAUUUAGAAAACUUCCCUUCCCGUUGAAAUGGAAGUGGAAGCCCAUUCUUAGCAAAGGAGGAUAGGACUGUGGCUCCAAUUGCAUUUACAGAAAUAGUAUUUAGAAAACUUGAUCCUUCCGUAAAGGUACACAGUUUGCCUUUUGUAGUAAAUCAACAAUUUCAAAUUUUUGGAUUCAAUUAAAUAUUCAGUUGAAGCAUUUUUUAUUUAUUA